Molecule: long non-coding RNA, 10085 nt
Organism: Mirounga angustirostris (Northern elephant seal)
Lineage: Eukaryota; Metazoa; Chordata; Mammalia; Carnivora; Phocidae
Exons: 2
Source: RefSeq, a predicted model, not a curated record
CAUUUUUUGAUCAGCUGGAUUUUAUCAUCCAGCUAAUUUUAAAGGAGGGUUCAUGAGUGUUCCAUUUCCUAAAAUGAUUAGAGUGGAAUGGAUGGGGCCUGCCACUCUAUUUUCUAGAAAAAGUAAAAAUCUGUAAUGAUGGAUGCAGCCAGAGUAGUGGCAAUUUUUCUAUCUCUUCUUGUCACAUUGGUACUAUGAAUGAUAAUAUUUUAUGAUGGGAAAGUUCCAGAGACUAGAGCCAGCAAUGCCUAAUGCCCAUACAGUAAUACAGAAAGUCUCAAAAGUAGGUAACUAGAUCAGUAAAUGUAUAGGACUGUUACACAUUUUAUAGUGGUGGUGGUGUAUGUGUGUGUGUACUUACAGAUAUGAUAAAGGCUUACAUAAUUGAUCACUGCCUCAGUAAGUUAUUUUUGUAACAAACCACCAUAGAAUCUCUGUGGCAGAAAACAGUGAUCAAUAUUUCCAGCCAUCUGCCUGUGUGUUCACUGUGGUUUGGCUAAUAUAGGCUUGGCUCAGGCUGGUUUUACUUCGAGCUUUGUUCUAAGCCUUGCCUGUUCCUGUAGAUUGGGCUCUAGUCUUCUCAACAUGUGUUCUUUGUGUGUCCCAGCCUUAGGAGCCAACAGCCAUCUAGAAGAGGCUCUUUUUGGGGUGAUGGAAAAGGUGAUAGAAAGCAAGACCAACCACACAAGUACCUUUGAAGUCUUUGCUUAUGUCAUGUUCACUAAUAUUCCUCUGGCCAGAACAAGUUACAUGGCUAAGCCCAACAUCAAAGGGUCUAGUGGGAGGAACUGCAAAAGGAAGUAGACACAGGGAGGGGUGAAGUCCUGGGAACAACGAUGCAAUCUAACACAAUUGUAAUGAUAGCUUUCCAUAAAAAGAAAACAAAUAUAAAAAUACCUGGGCCCUCUUGUGUAUGAAUGCCUUUCAAAUUGUAUGGUUAAUCUCAUUAGGAGGGGAGAUGCAUUUUCCUGCUAAUAUUAAAUUGGAAACUAACAGAAGGGUAAUGUGAAUUUCUAAACAAAAGGAGAUUUAUGGCAUUAUUGCAUGCUAAUCUUCUGAUAAGAGUAGCCACCCACUUAUAAAUAACUUUCACAGUUCUUUUGGAAGCUUCCUGGGAAUUGUCCAUUUUCAUUCACAUUUGUAAUCUCUGACCUAUUCCAAGAGUGCAGUAUAGUGUGAUGUAUUUUAUUUUUAGAACUAGUCUUAACCCUGUUAGUAUCUUAUAAAAUGAACUGGUCAAACAUUAACCCAUAAAUGUUGAAUAUAUCAGGAAAAGGAUACCCAAGAGGUGAAUUAGUAAUUCUUAAGUAUUGUGUAGUUGACUGCUAAAAUUAGUAUAGUUUGUGCUAUUGUGAUUGGUAAUUAAAAUAUCUUGUAAAUGUUUCAGAGGAGAACUGUGUAAAGCAAAUGAUUUAAAAAUUAAAAUGAGAAGUGUCCCAAUGGGUGAGUAGUUGUAAUAUUUAAAAAUGAUGUUACCUAAAUGAACAAGAUAUAUGUUUUCUUUUAUCAGUAUUAAGAGAAUUAUAAUUGCCUAUGUAGAUGCAAGACAUUUCUAUUUUAAUUUUACAUAGAAGCAAAGGUAUGGAAAGAUAAAGAAAAGCAAAGAUAAAGGAAAGACAAGGAAAAUGGGUCUCUAUUACUUCUAUAUCAGAAACAUCGGCAGGGAUACUUUCAUCCAAUCAUAGGAAAUACAAUGAACUUGUGGUUGAAUGUGCUAGAAAGUUUUAUCAAAUUGUAAAAUUUGUCAAAACUGCAAUACAUUAUCAUCGAUAUCUUAAGAAACAUGGAUAUGAUAAUGAAUUUAAUUUUCAGUCACUCAGAUUUUCUACAGUUGUAUUAUUCAUGGUGAAAUUCAUUCAACAAAUUUAUCUGUUUCAACUUGGUAGGAUUCAGGAACUGACAACUUCCCACUUCUUUGAUAUUUGUCAUCCUCACAUUCCCUUAGAAACCUCAAUACUCAACCAUUUACCAUGCUUUAAGGGAAUGUUUCACUAGGAAAAAAAAUUUGCACAAGUGUGGAAAAGAAGAAAAAUAGAAUUUUUACAGAAUAUCAAAGAAAAAGUCAUGAUGUGAACACUGCAUAGUAUGUUCCUAGCGUAUCUUGAAUUAAUAGUGAACAUGUGGUUUCACUGAUUUUCUUUCCCCCAUAUACUGAUAUAUAAAUAUAUGAGAAACUUGGAUUCCAUAUCAAGCACUAAAGUCAGAGUUCUUAUGUAACAUACCAUCUUUGAAAAACUGAAUUCUGAAUGACAGGUGGUUCCAAUACCCGCCUGUUAUUAAGUGUGGUUUGUGUUCCCCAUUUUGUUCUAGCACACAUUCUUAAUCCCCUUUUUGUGAAACUUGAUUAAUCAUUAAACAGGUUGGAGUGUACAAACCACCUGAAAUUCUCAGAUAAGUAGUUUCUUAACAUCUCUUUUUGUUAUUUGCUGUUAAAAAAAGUUAGCAUUAUUUUCCUCGAUUAUGUGAAAUUGCUCCCUUUGCACAUUCUUUUGAAACAAAUUGUUUCUAAGUACCAAUACGGUGAUUUUGAAGUUUGAAACGUCUUAAACUUUCCCAUCAUGGACAAGUUAUGUUUUGUAGUUGGUGAGAUCAAUACCCGCAUGCAGCUCCGUGUUUAUGGUGGCACAACAAAAUGAAGAUUUCAGAUAAUUAUCUUGAUAGUCAGGCCUCCAGGUCUGUUGGCUGCUGUGUUUACAGGGCAAAGCAAGCUGGACGCUGGGCUGUCUAUGGGCAGCCUGUUAAGUACAUAAUGCUCCCAUUGCUUUCUAUUCUCAGCACCCAAGUCACUUGCUGGGUGUAAGUUGGGUAUUUAAGGGUGAGCAUUAACUCUCGUGGGUCACCAGGGAACCAUUUAAUAAGUAACUAAGGGCCCGGAGAUGUUCAUGUAUUUCUGUAAAUGCCCCGGUUUUGUUACGGGUGCAGUUCAUUGAAGGUCAUUCCACAGUUUCAAAUAUUUAAUGUCCUUUCCCAAGUGAGUGACCCAGGUCUGGUAGACAAGAGGGCUGAUAGGUUAUUUGUAGCUAGCUGGUCCGUAGUAAGCUAAUCAAGUUCAUAAUGAUUAUAUUCUGGCAAGGAAAAGCUAAUCGGCAGAUAUAAUAGGGGUUCAGAGAGGCUAAAAUAAAUCUGAGAGAUAAUAAAAACAACCUCAUUAGACAAGAGUGUAUAUAUGCGUAGUUUUGUGAAUAUUUCUUUGCUAACUUUUUAUUUUGAUAUAUUUUAAACUUAAAGAAAAUUUUCAAGAUUAAAACAAGGUACAGCUUUCCAUCCUUUACACAUAUUUGCUGAUUAUUUAUCAUUUUCCCCACUUCUUUCAUCUUUCUGUCUAUCUACCAAGCUAUUGAUCCACAUAAAAUGUUUUUUCCUGAACCAUUUGGGGGUAAGGUGUAGUCAUGAUGCCCUUUGACCCUUAAAUAAUUCAGUGUAUAUAUUCAAAGGACAAGGACUUUUUAAAACAUAAACACAGGGCAUAAUCAUCGAAAUCAGGACAUUUAAUAAUGAUAUAUACAUUACUAUAAUAAUGAUACAUAAUACUACUACAUGACUAUGGAUAUUUUCUUUUUCUUUUCUUUUCUUUUUUGAUAAAUUAUAUGGAGAGAAACAAGAAAAUGAAAAUGAAUGACUUCAGUUCCAAAAUACCAUCACAUUAGUUGCCCUGGGGUAGAUUGUUAUGCUAAAUUCCAGUUAUAAAGUUGCUAGAUGAUCCAAAUGCCAAUUAGAUGAGGGUCACUUAUUCAAUAAGUCCUGUGCGUAUUUUAGUCAUUCGAAGGUUUCUUUUUUUUUUCCCCAAUGACUUACCAAGGAGAUGAUUAUGGGCACUUAUUCAAACCCAACUUUCACAUUGCAUUUGUAAAGCACAUUUGAAUUAAAAAUGCCAGGAAGGUUGACUUUGACCUUAAUAUUCAGCCAUAACUCCCUCUCUUUGGAGAUGAAUAUUCAGGUGAACUUCAUUGCUCCUUGAACUUGAUCACCUUCAUAUUGGAUUUCCAGUUUUAAGUAUAGAAUUUAGUACAAAUAUAAUUAAGAUAUAAUACAAGGCAGAUAAAAUCCAUCUAAAAAGAAGAGAACUGUUAAUUUAACAACAUACCUUGCAGGAGAGUCAGUGUAAUGAUAUAAGUAAUACGAACAGGCAUGCUAUUUGGAUGUCAGAUUUUUUUUGAAGUCAUCAAUUUGUUCAGAUGUUCUAAUGUAGCACUAUUAUAGUAAUAAUUAAGAAGGUUAAAUCCUUCUUUGUGAAGAUGUUAGAUGCCUGUCUAUUAGAAUCAUCUGUUCACACUUGACUAGCUCAUGUUCAUUUUUACAGUCUUUGUUUCAAGAAAUUAUAUUAAGCCAGAUGGACUUCUAAUGCCUUUGAAGCCAAGUCAAAGAACAUAAGGCUGAACUGUAGACUGAGUCACUUAUUCACAAUGAGGAAGAAUUUAUGUGCAUUGUUUGUUAACAGAAAAAGAUCAAAACCCAAAUCAAAUGUUUGAAAAUGGGAACCAAUCAAAUAAACCCUGGUAGAUCCAGCCAUGGAAUACUAUGCAGCUGUAUAAGAAAAAUAAAAAAGAAGAAGAAUGAAGAUAUACUCUGUGUACUGAUUUGGAGAUAAGUUCUGAAAGGAAAACAAGGAUAAUCUCAUUUGCAUGUGUUUGCAUGAAGAAACUAGAAGGAGAUAUAUAAAAAAAAAAAGGAAUAAAAAUGUUGUAUGGUGGGUGGAAACCGGCAGAUGGAGUCAGGGGUGGAUGUAAAAGUCUUCACCGUGUAAACCUUUUUAUACUUAAAAAAUGUUUUGAUCUGUGUUCAUGUACUAGUUAGUGAAAGAAAUUAAAAAGAGAAUUAUUGCAUUCAAAUAUGCAGAGACUGCUAAUUUUUCACCCCAACACCUAUCCUAAUUGUUAUGAUUUUAAACUGAAACACUGUCCUCUAGGCCUUAAAUAAUUUUUUCCUGCUUCCCUUGCAGCUAGGUAUGGCUCUAAGACCAGUGAGAUAGUGUGAGAUAUCUUGGUACUUAUACAUGAAUCUAUUCAGGUGUGAGGGCCUUUCUACCCUGCUUUCUUCUUCCUAAAUAUGGAGUUGAUGUCCAGAGCCCCAGUAGACAUCUUGGCCAAUGAAAUGACCUUGAUAAUUGAAAACCAUUUAUAAGAGAGCAGCGGAGAAAGAUAGAAACAUGAAUUCCUGAACACUAUGGAGCUAACAUAGAGGUUUCUUCUUGGUUUCUCUUAUGUGAAAAGCAAGCAAACAAACGAAGCUCUUAGCUUGUGUGCACCACCCUUACUUUGAUUUUUAUGUUGUUGAUUAUACUUUGGAAUCAAAUCCAGUAUUUACCCCCAGUGUAGGAAAAUGGUGUCUUCCUUAUUUAAGACCGUUUCCUUUGUGAAUUUUGCUAGGGCAUUCUAAGCCUCUGACCUUGUUUCAAAUCUAGUCCCUCUUUGGGUUGGUACAACAUGGCUGUGAUAAGUAUUUCUGAAGAAUUAUGAGAUAUGAGUGUUAUCUGUCACUGUGUUUUGCAGUCCUAAGUGCCAAUGUUGGAAAGAUUCCUGUAUAUGCAUCAUGUCACUUUUCUUUUUAAUGUAGACACACAGCUGAAUUUUUAAUAUUUAAUAAGCAGUUAAAAUAAUCAUACUUGCUAUGUCAAAAUAAAUAUUCAGAUUUUCAAUCACGGACUUAAGGAUGUGAAAAUACAUCGAAUUUAAGAAAGAUACAUGUCUGUUUUAUUGCUAUACCUAUAAUUCAGGCAAAAAAAUGUGUGAUGAGAAAGGGAAAAGGACAUGGAGACAUGGAGACAUUUAUUUUUCAGAUUCAUGGGAUAUUUGCUGAAGUGGGAAAGGCUGAUGUAUUUUCAGCCAAGACAUCUGGUAAUAAAUAAACUAUAUCCACUGUGUAAAUAUUAACCUUUUUUUUUUUUCAAAAGGAUUUGAUAGCGGGGUGCCUAGCUAGCUCAGUCGGUAGCACUUGCGGCUUUUGAUCCUGGGGUUGUGAGUUCAAGCCCCACAUUGGGGAGAUUACUUAAAAUGAAAACAAAAGAAAACAACCUCCUAAAAGAUUUGAUAGCAAAAAGAUAUUGUUAUUUCAUUGCUAGAAGACUCACAUUUUUUCACAUUAGAAGGGGAAGGGAAUUUCAUCAGUGGUCACAUGAUACUAUCUGUCUAAACCAACUCUUGCUCACUGAAGUAAUAUACUAACCCCACUAAAGAGUAGAGUUAAUAGAAGAAGCAGAUAAUUUCAACUGGUGUUUCAUAAUAUCUAAUUUUUUUUAGACCUGGGAUGGCUUCUUCAGGGUACCUUAUACUGAAUCUAAUUUGCAUACCCAAUUUAGCAGUCUCUUUUUCUGCUUUAACUAGAAAAAAUAUUCUAAAACACAUUUUACAUAAUUAUUCUACUUAUGGAGAUGGGCUUUCCCACAUGCUAUUAAGUAGAAAAUCUUUCAGGAAAGCAAAGAAGAAACUAUGCAAAAAGAAAAUAUUUUUUUGAAAGAAGCUUGGAAGAUAUGGCAAUAAUUCAUGUUAUUCAAGAUAAAGCUCCUUCUCUUCAUAACACAACAAUUUAUACAGAUAGAGGUGAUAUGUCCUUUAUACUAAAUAUAGUCUUUAUUCAUUCAUUUCUGUAUUCAUCAUGCUGAAAAUAUUUAUUGAUCAUCUACUUUGUACCAGAUGUCAUAGAGCUUUGUAAAGGAGUCUUACAAUGAAUGAAUUCUUCAGUAAAUGUUGGUGACUAUCAGUUGAGAUAGAUCAAUUAUCAAUUGAGCUAUGGAGGGGGGAGUAGGCCAUUCUGCAAGAGUAUAUGACAAAGGGGGCAUGUGGGUGUCUCAAUGGGUUAAGUGUCUGCCUUUGGCUCAGGUCCAUGAUCCCAGGGUUCUGGGAUCGAGCCCCGCAUCGGGCUCCCUGCUCCACAUGAAGCCUGCUUCUCCCUCUCCCACUCCCCCUGCUUGUGUUCCCUCUCUCGCUGUCUCUCUCUCUGUGAAAUAAAUAAAUAAAAUCUUUUAAAAAAAAGUGUAUGACAAAGGAAUAUGCCUCAAGCUGUGGUCUUGGAGUACACGGAGCUAGUGGGGGCUGAGGUCUAGGUAAAUUGUGGGUGCAGGUGGGGUGUGUACCUCAUAUUCUAGGUGAGUUCUGUAGAGUUUUGCAACAUGGAGGAGCAUUAUCUCUGUCACCUGUAGAACUUUACAAGGUGAGGCCAAUGUAGGUGGAGCUUGGAUAGCUAAAGGAGGAAACAGGGGAGAUAAAGGGGAAGUGGGAGGCGGGGUGGGCAAGGCCAUUUAAGGCCUUAAGGAUGUCUUUAUUCUGCAGUCGAUGGGAAUCCAUGGAAAGAUUUUGGAGAGACAGCAAGUAAGAGAGAGAAAGGCCACAACAGAAUGGAUGUCAAAAACUAGUAGAGGGAAUAGACAUAGGUGGGAGGGUAGGGGUGGUGGUGAAUUAAGGUGGUGGCAGAGGAGAGGGAAUAAAACUACAUAUUUGAGAAAAAAUUAGGAGAAUAAAACUGAUAGGAACAGAUCACGUAUAUUUUGAUCAUUAGCAGAUUGGAAAACUAUAUUAACCUUUUUUUUGAAGUAAUUUAGACCUAUGUAAAAGUUGCAAAAUAGUACAGAGUGUUCCCGUAUACAUCUCAUUCAACUUCCCAUAUUGUUAACAGGACACCAACUAUUUUUUUUUUUUUUUUUAGAGAGAGAGAGAAUGUGUGUCAGUGAGGGGAGAAGCAGAGGGAGAGGGAGAGAGAGAAUCUUAAGCAGGCUCCCUGCCCAGUGUGGAGUCUGCCUGUGGCUCUAUCUCAUGACCCUGAGAUCUUGAUCUGAGCUGAAAUCAAGAGUCAGAUGCUUAAAUGACUGAGUCACCCAGGCGCCCCAGGACAUCAACUAUCCUUUUCAUUCUAAUAAUUUUUCUGAAGAUUCUCUUGGAUUUUCCAUGUAGAAAAGUAAUAAAUAUGUAAUAUGUACAUAAUUACAUUUUUCUUUCCAAAUACUUUUAUCAUUACUUAAUUUAUUAUUCAUUCAAUUCUUUCAUUCAUUUAUCUUCUUGGAUCACCUAGGGCCUCUGGUACAAUACUGAAUAAAUUUUCCCUGAUCUUAAAGGGCUGAGUAUUUUCCCUGAUCUUAAAGGGCUGCUUCUUAUGUUCUACUCUUGAGUAUGAUGUCUGUCUCAAAUAUGGAGAAGAUACUCCUUUAAUAAGUUAAGUUCUCUUCUAGAUCUGAUUUAUUAAGGGCUUUAGAACAAUCAUAAAUAGGUGUUAAGUUUUGUCAAAUGACUUCUCUGCAUAUACUGAAAUGAGCUUUUCUCUUCUCAUAUGUUAGGAUAAACCCUACUAGCUCAUUGUGGCAAUCUGCUUGCUAGUAUUUUAUUUUGCUUCUAUCUUCACAAGUGAGACAGAUCUAGGAUUAUUUUUUCUUGUAUUUUCCAUGUUCAAUAUCAAGAUAAUAUAGCUUCAUAAAAUAAGUUGGAGUAAUUGUCUUGUUUUUUAUUAGUUAUUUAAUUUUUGUUAUGUUCUCAAAUCUUUUCAGUUAUUUACCUUUGUCCCUUUCUUAUGUGUUAUUAAGAAAAGGGUUCUUUCAUGAGAGACUAUGGACUCUGAGAAACAAACUAAGGGUUCUAGAGGGGAGGGGGUGGGAGGAUGGGUUAACCCAGUGAUGGGUAUUAAAGAGGGCAUGUAUUGCAUGGAGCACUGGGCGUUAUGCACAAACAAUGAAUCAUGGAUCACUACAUCAAAAACUAAUGAUGUAAUGUAUGGUGAUUAACAUAACAUAAUAAAAUUAAAUUAAAAAAAUAAAAGAUUAAAAAAAGAAAAGGUUUUUUUGUCAACAUUAUAAAAAUACCCACCUACUUUUCUUAUAUUUUAGAUAUUGUAUUUUAUUCUGUUAGCCUUUAAAUCUUGAGUAGAUAACUAAGGGUUUGCUCCUCCAUAUAUGUGACCAACAUAGGGCUAUGCAAUUCUUAUUUUAAAACCAGAGAAAAAUUUCCAAAGCUGUUUUUAGCAGGAGCUUCAAAUAUAUUUUUCAUGGUACCAGCUGGGAUGCCCAAGAGAAUUGCUAUAGGUUUCAGGCUUAAAAUAAAUCCAAGUAUCUACCUAAUUCAACAAUGAUUCUGUGCUUAAUGCAGAAGUAAGCCUUAGUCUCAAAAUAUAACUAGACAAGAAAAUUUAAUUCAGGAAUCUAUCCAAUUCAUAUAGACUAUUACUCAGCCAGAGCUGAAGAUUUACUUUAGCAAGGAGUUGGAAUUCCUUAGCAUACAGAAGCAAGGUCAAUCUCUGGAAAAAAAAUGUGAUGUUCUGCACCUGUGGAGCAAAAUUUGACAUUUUCAGUCAAUGACAUGAUUUUAGAUUAAUGCCAAAUGAACUUAAAGGAAAAUAACGUUUAAAAAAAUGAGCAGAUACAUGAAGAAUACAGUUUACCUACAGUAUGAAUGAAGAAGUGUACAGUUUUUACCUAUGAUGGGUGUUGUAGGUCCUUGAUUCUUGACUAUAUUUAGUACCUGCAUUAGAAUGAGUUUCCAACAUGGCUAAUCUUAAUAUUAAUUUUUUUUCCCUCAGCCAGUAUAUUCAGGAAGUCAGUAUUUUUGGAUGUUGUUGCUGUCUUCUUGGCAUUUGCCUACUUUUUUUUAAUGGUUGUUAAUGUCAAUAUUAUACUUUUAGGAGCUUCAGCCAUUGUAUGUAUUGUGUGUGCAUGUAUAUGCUUACCCUUAGUACACAGUCUGUUUCUAUAAUGAUAUCUAUGUCUGUGGGUAUUUAUAACAGAUAUGCAGACAUUCAAAUGCUGAAGCCAUUCAAAUAUUUGUUGGGCUAGAUAAUUCUGAUAUCACACAUGGGAGGUUGCUUGUUUUUCUGCUUAAUUCACUGACAUGUAUUGACAGUACCUUGUGUACUAAGCAAUGCAUUGUAUUCUGGGUUUUCAAACACAAUGAAAAUGUCAUAACAGAAACAGGGGACUGUGUACAAUGAUCACAGUAGAUAAUAUAAUGAUUGAUAUUCUAUAUCACGAAUAAGGUGCUGAGAGAGCACAGGGGAGGAAUCAAUCUGUUUUGCAGAGGUUUGGGGUGGAUGUGGGAACAGAGAUGAGGGACACACAGAGAAAGUAGAAUUUGGUCUAGUCCUUGAAGGGAGGUUUAUUUCAGGUAGAAGGG